Long non-coding RNA from Gadus macrocephalus (Pacific cod), 7358 nucleotides. RefSeq lists it as uncharacterized. The transcript is spliced from 4 exons. The record is from RefSeq and is a predicted model, not a curated record. Lineage: Eukaryota; Metazoa; Chordata; Actinopteri; Gadiformes; Gadidae.
UGGAGAACACUAUUCGGGCGCCCACUCAAACUUGAGAUUCUGUCCACUCACAUUUUUCUAUUCAUGUGUAAAUAUAAUCCCUGCGCAGUCUAAAAUCAGUACCAUGACAUCGAUUUAAAGAGGGCAAAGUGCUUCUUCUUUUGAUCAUAGUGCGCGGUUUACCAGAUCGGAUCUACAGGUAAGCAACAUGUAUGUGUGUAGCGUUUCUCUUGGCAAGUGCUCGCUAGUCCCCCCCCCCCCCCCCAUGUAUAUACAUUUUUUGUACACGCCGUUGCUACACUGCAGGAGAAAACGAUUCCAUCUUUGUUCCAUUGACAGUAAUUCACAGUAUGUAGAGUCGGAUAAAAGCCCAUCUCGCCAUCUGGAGGUUGAGCGCAUGGACGUGCAUAUACACAACCACGGUUAAUUGGCUCAUUAAGUUACCUUGGUUCCACUUAGACAUAAAAUAAUAUUUAGCGUUCCAUCGCGGAUCACUGAUGCGAGCGCUGACCGAACCCAGAGCUCUGCGACCAGAGAGCGAGGCGGACCGCAUGGAAACGUGCUGCUUUUACAAACUCUGUUCGCUUCCCACGAAAGAGGAAACCUGUUUCUCAUAAAGCUGUGAUUUGUGCAAGAAAAACAGGCAAUCAUCAGCGAAUCCCACCCCGAAAAAAAAGAGAAAGAAAAGGAAAAGUAACACCGGUGCGUCUUCCCAAGUGUGGUGAAUCGCACAGGGCGCCCAAUCACAGCGACCUUCCUGUCAUUAGCACUCAUCAGCCUGGGCAUGUCCAGGCAUGGCUCUGGCCUGUCAGACGCACAACCUGGAGCCGGUCGCAGGCGGACUGAGGGGGAGGGUCAUGGGUAAUAAUGCAAAGGGUGUGUGUGUGAGACGGCUCGUGAUUGAUAACAGUGGCAGCAGAGGUUCUGGCGGGUUCUUCUUCAUAGAAAGCCAACUCUGCUCUCCCCCCAGAACAAGAUUCUUGUUCUUUUGUACAGUCGACUUUCACGUUGCAUAACGCAGUCCAAAACAGUUGUUUUGUGGUGUCAGGCGUCUUCUACACACUGCAUUCAGAUGAGAUGUUUUGAGAUGUUUUGGGAUUCGAGGUGAUGUCAAUUAUUUUAGUCUAUGCUUUAUUGUGACCACAUGUUUCCAGCUAACACCAGUUAUGAAUGGUUUCUUCACUACAUAGAGGUUAAGGCUGUUUCAAGGAAAUGUCCACAGCUUCACGAUGAACCGUGAUCCCACGUGUACAGAAUAUCGCUUCACUGCUACCACCAGAUCACUUCACACUUCUGCUCCUAAUCUUUACUUAUUGUUACUUAUCUUCACUUAUCUUUCGUUAUCUUUAUUUUACUACCUUACUUUAUCUUGUAUUAUUACUGCUAUGUGGCUGUUGCGGCUCCAUGGUAAAGAGAAGAUGAAGGCGAAGAAAAGGAAACAGAGGAAGACAAGGAAACAUCAGAGAGGGGGAGGAGGGUGUGGCUGGUUGGAGGUUGGUGGGGGGGUUGGAGGGGGUAAGGGGUAGGGUGUAGGACUUGGCACCCUGACCUCCGGCACUGUCAUGUAUUCUCACUGACAUCAUCAUUGUAAAAUUAGGAGCCCUGGUUUCAUCUUUCCUGCAGAUGUGGAAGCUUGAAAUUGCAUUCCGUGGGCCUGUGCCACAUUUCAUCAGUGAAUGUUCCCCUCACCGGCUCCAAGGGGGGAGGAACAGGCAGAAGGACGGGGGUCGGGAUGGUUAGGAGCCUCAACCCCCCCUCCCCCUCUCUACCCCUAUUGCCUCCCAGCCUUUUACUGCUUGGCACCCUCCAACACUAACCUCCCUCCCUGCACACACACUCACACACACACACGCACACACUCCCACAACACAACACAGUGUUUUGGCCGGAGCCAACCUCUGUUGCACUCCACAGCCUUCCAGCGCUGCGGCGCUGCGCGGGCUGGGCGACUCCCGGGCCGGACCCACACCUGCGGCUGAUAGAAUCCUUCUGGUAGUACAAAGCCCGUGAUUUACGGCCCCCGAGGAGCCCGGGGCCUCGUACAGCUGUGGACCGGCAGGAAAGGGAAGUUGUUCAUCACGCAGUGCGCGUUUUCACCAGCAAUCUUUGGCCACAAACGCCCAAACAGCCCGAGCCCGAGCAGAGAAUGUCACCGUAACGACAGGUGGUCGAUGGUGCCGGGGCACUUUGUAACACAUUAGCUAAAGGCUAAUAGCGAGCACGGCUGACGGCCGAUCUUAGGUGGCCGAGGAAAUCAGUGUGCAGCUCCCUGACUGACGGCGAAUGACAUGUGGGAUAUACUUUGAUCCAGUGAUCUUUCUUCGCCACUGUGCUUAAUUGUGUGUGUGUAUGUGUGGAUCUUUGGUCUUUGUGCUCGAGUGUGAAUUAUGUGACACACACAUCCAGUAACAAAUACUUUGGUUGCUUUUGUUUUACUCUCCAUUUUGACUUUUUCUAAGUCACGUUUCUGGUCUACGUUUUCACUUGAGGUUUUGCAUUAGAGACGCAGAACAGAAUUAGUUCUGGAGCCACGGCGGGGGAGCUCUGCCAGGAGGUGGUGAUGUUGAGAGAUGGAUUCCUGGAGAGGAGGUAGGGGCGGGGGUCAUCCAACACCACACCGGAUGAGAGUAGGGUUAGAGUGGGGGAGACACGGUGACAACCGCCUGUAUGGCUAUAGAUCUAAAUAUAAAAAAAUAAACCGCAAUGACAUCACAACAGCCUGGGUCUGAGUAAUGUUCCUCGUGCUGUCACAUGGGUUCCAUGAAGACGAGGUCAGACCUAAAUACGGGGGGGAGUGGUAGUUGAUCUGGACUUACAGGACGAUAGUGAUAGGGCUCGGAAUGUAUAUCCUGAAAAUGCGCACGUCUUGUUCCGAACCGAGUGAUUUAUUGACUCUGCAUUUAGUGUGUGGAUGGACCUGGAAUUCGGUGUAUCCUGGAAAUAUUAUUUCUCUUUCUGUUUUUUAGGGGGGGGGGAGACGUUGACAUGUUGAGCUCUUACACACAUGUGAGUUUGGAGCAGGAGCUUGGGACGCAGCGUCUAGUGGAACCAAUGCAUUCGGUCAGGCCUUUAAAAGCCAUUUCCAUACGGUACGUUGUGAAGACAAAACGCAUAUUUCUCUCAGGCCUGGAGGUACGCUGCAUUAGUAUAGACAGAUGAACGUAGCUAAAUCAUCUAAUGGCUGCCAUACAACAUUUAAUAGGUUACUAGUAUGUUUUUGUGGUUAUAUCACAACAAGAAUGUUCAUUGUUGUGUGUUUUGUUGUAUGUGUUACCAGCAAGUAAAACACAAUUUUGUAUAUUUCCCUCAUGACUUGAAGUCCUGGUAAACUCAUUGUAUUUACAUAUGUAUUAGCAUAUCGUGAACAUGUAUUAAGCUAAUGCUCCACAAAAGUUAGGAAUACACAAAAAAGCUAGAUUAACUGUUGAUAUUCAUAGCUUCCAUAUCCACUUUAUGCUGGACUUUUAGGCACGAAGGGCAGAGCAAACACAAGUUUUCUUCAUGUUAAUUACUCUCUGGUUAAAAUUUGCAGACAGUUACAAAUCCUAGUUUAUGCCAGUAGAGACCCUCGGAAAUGUUGACACUGAGAAUGAAAUGAGGCCUUCAUGUUAAUGCUGCACCACCACCCUCACACACACACACACACACACACACACACACACACACACACACACACACACACACACACACACACACACACACACACACACACACACACACACACACACACACACACACACACACACACACCCCACCACCACAGAACCUGGCAUGCAGUUCUCAGCUGCAGCUGUGUUGGAACGGCUUCUCUUGUUUGUGUACCCGAUGUUGUUUGGUUUUUUUUUGUCUUCUUGCUUUAGAGUUUUUAUUUGCACAUCCCCGAGCUCUGCAGCCAUGCCUCCCAGAGCCAGACCACCUGCAACAAUUAAAAGGAAGAAAAAAAAGAGAGAGAGAGAAGAAAUGGCCUGCUGGCUCAGCAGGGCUGCUGUGAUCAACACAGAAUUAUAUCAUAUGGAGGAGGGCUUGUUGUGCACAGCGUGUCUCAACCUUUUAAGGCCUCAUUCCCCCCCCCCCCCCCCCCUCCUCUGAAAGUAGAGUAGGGCCUACAUGGGAACUCGAAACUGUAGCCAAAUCAUGCAAGAUAGAAAUAAGGGAAGUUCAUGCCUUCUUUCUCAAGUGGGGUGAUUGGCCAGCUCUGCUUGCAGCAACCAUGGGUCGUUAUCUGGUAUACGCAGGUCUUGUGUUGCUUAUUUUAUGUUAUUAUAUUUUAUAUAUAAGACCAAUGUUGACAUGACAUUUUUAACCUUUCCAGAAAUGUUAUAUUUUCUGACUGUUACUAAUUCUACUAGUAUUACUAACUCCAUACAAAAAACUCCUUUACAAUACUGUUAUGAAGAAAAUGUAGUGGAUAUGUUGCUCUCAAACAACUUAGCUAUCCAUCACUUAAACUAUCCCACUGGUUUGACAAUCAAAACAGUAUUGCGGGGUACAGAUUCACAAUUGUGAAAGUGUAGCGAUAUUUUCAGACACUCCUAUAAAAUAUGUGGGGUUAUGUGUUAACAUUGCAGCGCUCCGGUCGGGGUGCAUUCUUUUGAAACGGUCUGCGUUCUCCAUGACUCCGUAGCUCUGUGCUGUGGGCGUGUCGGUGCGGAGGUCCACUGUGUGAUACGGUUUGUCAUCAAAACAUCUGUUUCACAAAGAUGGACUGGAGCGAAGCCAUGACAUUAUAGACUCAAGUGUAUCUCUCUUGCUCCCUCCAUUCCUCUCCCUCCCUCACUCUUUCUCUCCCUCAGUCUUUCUCUCUCACGUGCUCUCUCCCCCGCUUUCUCCUUCUCUCUCUCUUGCUCUCUCUCGGUGCCUCUCUCUCUUAACAUCAAAAGCUUUAAUUUCCUUCACCAGCCCUGAUUAUUCUGAGAAAAGGGAUUUCUGUGGUCGCUAAGGGUGUCACGAUAGGGACGAAGAGUCUACUACCACCACCUUUAGGACAAACCCAGGUGCUGCACGUCCUCUUUUGGGGCAAUUCACUCAGUAGUUCAGUCUACAACCCCUGCCCCUGGUACAUGAAAGGAGCAGGCCCAUUCUUACUGUUAUGAGCGACACCUGUGUGAUUAUCACAGGGUCUAAUUCUUCAUAUUGGCGCUCAACCUUGAUACAUUUAUACAUUAUGUGAUAGAAGAAGGAAAAUAAACAUGUUAUUUCACAACCUCUUUCCCCAUUGCCCUCUCUGCUAGGAGAUAAUCACAAUUCUCUGCUUUUCUAGGACCUUUCCACUCAUGGCGGCGUUGUUUUAUUGUUGUAUUUGACAGUAACCUUUUUGUUGUGCUAAACAUCCCAUCAGUCACUGUGUCAGACGAUGUGAGGCUGCAGAAUGCUACGAGAUGGCUCAAAUGUUUCGGACUGACCGCUUUCUCCAAAUGUUACCCAUUCCCAAUUCCGUCAUUUGUUAUCUUUGUUUUCUUUCUUUCUGUUAUUUUCCCUGAAGAUGGCAUUUUCAUUGGGUGGGGGAGGGGAUCUCACCAAAUGUGCCAAAACGGCCCAAAAUGCCACUGGUCAUCAUGAUAUAUAACAACUGUAUUGUUGUUAGGGUCAUCAGGAAACAACAAAUAAAACAGUUUUCCCCACAAAUGUUGACAGCAAACUAUCCAAACCUUGACAAAUUAACCAUUUAGUCCUCCUAAACAAACGACCCAGAAGCAUUUAUUGUUCAUCCACAUCUGAAGCCGAGCACUUCUUUAUGGUUUGGAAACUACAGAGGCGGUUUGAACAAUGUGAUUCAUCUUAAAACAACAGGAGGGUGGGCCUUUGUUGAAAUGCAUCUCACGUGUGUGUGUGUGUGUGUGUGUGUGUGUGUGUGUGUGUGUGUGUGUGUGUGUGUCUGUGUGUGUCUCUGCGUCUGUGUGUGUCUGUCUGUCUGUCUGUCUGUCUGUCUGUCUGUCUGUCUGUCUGUCUGUCUGUCUGUCUGUCUGUCUGUCUGUGUGUGUGUGUGUGUGUGUGUGUGUGUGUGUGUGUGUGUGUGUCUCUGUGGGGCUUUGAAGGAGUUUUGAUGAAUGUGACUUGUGCAAAUGUGCGUUUAAUAAAAUAAAUAAUGGUAGCUCCUUCUCCUCCAGCAGUGUUGGUCAUCUCUCCCUGUAGGAGUUCACCGUGAUCAAUCCAACAUGUGAUACCUCUCACAGCGACGUCCAGAAGAUGACAAAUGUUUCGGACGUGCUUCGUACAGUUUGUCAUCGGAGAUACCUAUAUGUUGUUGGGCCACUGCUUUAAAGAGGGGGUUUGUAUAUUUAUUUGUCUAUCCCUGGUGUUCACAAGUAAGAGAAAGACAUGUCGUGAUUACUUUAUUUAACAAAAAAGGACGCACGAUCCAAUAGGAAAUGGAUUAUGCGUAUGUAUGAGUUGCAAUUCUGUUGUAAGACAUUUUUCUCUCUGCCCUACUGUGCCUGUCCAUUUUGAGCCUCCAUUCCUCCCCCCAAACCUAAGGAUACACAGACACAGAGUCAUCCACGCACGCACAAAAGCACACACACAGAAACCUUGCCUUGUAUCUGUUCAGCCAGUCAGCUCCCUCCUGUCAUCUGCGCCAAUCACCAUCUGCCCCAAUUUACCACUAUUUAUUUCUAAUUGGGCCAAAAUUGAACUGCUGUCAGUGAUUAAAGUUGUUCCAAAAAGGAGGAACGAAUCUCUUUGCCCACGUCCAUUAUUAACUCAUUGAUUACAAUAAUGCGGGAAAUUGCCCAUUGGAGUCAAAUGUUAGCGGAGACACCUGGCCUGAACGCACCCACCAAAAAAAAAGAAGGAUAAAAUAGAAACCCACAGGAGCCGCGGGCCUUGUGAGUAACGGGAUGUGGCAGCUGCCGCUAACUCUACGGGGCCUGCCCCACCAAACGCCUCCUGUUUGACCAGGCUUCGUACCACUUCCUCUCUAGCGGCUGCUGGUGGGAUUUUUCCAUGUCGCCGAUGGACUUGCUUAAAAACAGUACCAUCAAAUAACUACAAAUGGACAUUGCUGUCAUCUUAAAUGAAGAAACAAGAUAUUAAAUAAAUGACAUCAGAUGGAUUCUUUAAUUAGAACUUUUGAGACGGACUUUCCCAGCUUUGUUUGAUUUGAUGUGGAUUUGAACUGGCGACCUUCCAUUCACACGCCUACUCCUCCUCCUCCUCCUCAAACUGACGACGGCAAUGCAACCAUCACUCCUGCCAUUCUCUCUACCCUCACAAACUUGGAUGAACAACAAUUUUCUCAAACUCAACUGCAAUAAAUCGGAAAUCAUCAUCAUUGAUGAUCACCAAAUUCCGUCUCCCCUCCACCCAAGACUUGUCACUAUGCAUUGAUGGACACACCGUCACUCCCUCCCCCUGGUCCAAAACCUUGGAGUCAUCCUGGA